This 85-nucleotide non-coding RNA is filed under the name Desulfotruncus arcticus DSM 17038. RNAcentral describes it as "c-di-GMP-I riboswitch aptamer". It matches the Rfam family "c-di-GMP-I riboswitch aptamer". From Rfam's summary of the family: GEMM was predicted in a large-scale screen for bacterial structured RNA regulatory elements. Genes associated with GEMM are involved in a diverse array of functions, including chemotaxis regulation, signal transduction, secretion and chitin. The record is from Rfam by way of RNAcentral. Lineage: Bacteria; Bacillati; Bacillota; Clostridia; Eubacteriales; Desulfallaceae.
GUUCUUGAAGGGCAAACCUGUCGAAAGGCAGGGACGCAAAGCCAAGGGUCUAAUUCGCUCUGCGAUAUGACAGCCGGUUGCUAGA